RNAcentral lists this ribosomal RNA (245 nucleotides) under uncultured bacterium. RNAcentral's name for it is "partial 16S ribosomal RNA". It matches the Rfam family "Bacterial small subunit ribosomal RNA", at positions 91 to 334 of the family's 1533-position model. The record is from RNAcentral.
UAAAGUGGCGACCGGGUGAGUAACACGUGACUAACCUACCCUAGAGUGGGGAAUAAACCUCGGGAAACCGGGGCUAAUACCGCAUAACAUCACGAGACGUAAACGCUUGUGAUCAAAGGAGUAAUUUGCUCAAGGAGGGGGUCGCGGCUGAUUAGUUAGUUGGUGAGGUAACGGCUCACCAAGACUUAGAUCAGUAGCCGGCCUGAGAGGGCGCACGGCCACACUGGAACUGAAACACGGUCCAG